CAACCCUCAAGCACAGCUUGGUAUUGAGCCUAUGUCAGUAAUGGCAGACUCUAAAAUCAGUGGCGGCGCGACUGAGGCCUAAACGUAGUAAUAUUUCUCGUUACAGGUUCCCAGUUGUAUCUGCCAAAACCCAAAUUUCUU
Molecule: ribosomal RNA, 141 nt
Filed under: Ciboria caucus
Lineage: Eukaryota; Fungi; Ascomycota; Leotiomycetes; Helotiales; Sclerotiniaceae
Source: RNAcentral